This 405-nucleotide ribosomal RNA is filed under the name uncultured bacterium. Its description in RNAcentral is "partial 16S ribosomal RNA". It matches the Rfam family "Bacterial small subunit ribosomal RNA", at positions 30 to 526 of the family's 1533-position model. The record is from RNAcentral.
AUUGAACGCUGGCGGCAGGCUUAACACAUGCAAGUCGAACGAGUGGCGGACGGGUGAGUAAUGCUUGGGCAUCUAGCUUAUGGAGGGGGAUAACUACGGGAAACUGUAGCUAAUACCGCGUACCAUAGGAUGAGCCCAAGUGGGAUUAGGUAGUUGGUGAGGUAAAGGCUCCUCAAGCCGACGAUGUCUAGCUGGUCUGAGAGGAUGACCAGCCACACUGGGACUGAGAAACGGCCCAGACUCCUAAGGGAGGCAGCAGUGGGGAAUAUUGGGCAAUGGGGGAAACCUGACGGAGCAAUGCCGCGUGAAUGAAGAAGGCCUUCGGGUUGUAAAGUUCUGUCGGUAGCGAGGCGUUAACUACAGAAGAAGCACCGGCUAACUCCGUGCCAGCAGCCGCGGUAAUUC